Myotis davidii is the source of this 75-nucleotide non-coding RNA. The record is from Rfam. Lineage: Eukaryota; Metazoa; Chordata; Mammalia; Chiroptera; Vespertilionidae.
GGCAGUUCUUGUGUGACACACCCCAGAAUUGAGCUCCCUCCUCUCUGGUUCCGGGUCCAUCACCCGAGAAUCGCA